AUUGAACGCUGGCGGCAUGCCUUACACAUGCAAGUCGAACGGCAGCAUGGAGAGCUUGCUCUCUGAUGGCGAGUGGCGAACGGGUGAGUAAUGCAUCGGAACGUACCGUGUAAUGGGGGAUAACGUAGCGAAAGUUACGCUAAUACCGCAUACGACCUGAGGGUGAAAGCAGGGGAUCGCAAGACCUUGCGUUAUACGAGCGGCCGAUGUCAGAUUAGCUAGUUGGUGAGGUAAAGGCUCACCAAGGCGACGAUCUGUAGCGGGUCUGAGAGGAGGAUCCGCAACACUGGGACUGAGACACGGCCCAGACUCCUACGGGAGGCAGCAGUGGGGAAUUUUGGACAAUGGGGGCAACCCUGAUCCAGCCAUGCCGCGUGAGUGAAGAAGGCCUUCGGGUUGUAAAGCUCUUUCGGCCGGGAAGAAAUCGCACAGGCUAAUACUCUGUGUGGAUGACGGUACCGGCGUAAGAAGCACCGGCUAACUACGUGCCAGCCGCCGCCGUAA
This 504-nucleotide ribosomal RNA is filed under the name uncultured bacterium. RNAcentral's name for it is "partial 16S ribosomal RNA". It matches the Rfam family "Bacterial small subunit ribosomal RNA", at positions 30 to 523 of the family's 1533-position model. The record is from RNAcentral.